Otolemur garnettii (small-eared galago) is the source of this 101-nucleotide small nuclear RNA. The record is from Ensembl. NCBI's taxonomy places the organism in Eukaryota, Metazoa, Chordata, Mammalia, Primates, Galagidae.
GCACUCACUUUGGCAGCACACAUAUUAAAAUUGGGACGAUAGAGAUUAGCAUGGCUCCCUGGAAGAAUGACGUGCAAAUUCGUGAAGCGUUCCAUAUUUUU